Molecule: ribosomal RNA, 1995 nt
Filed under: activated sludge metagenome
Description: bacterial LSU rRNA
Rfam family: Bacterial large subunit ribosomal RNA
Source: RNAcentral
UCUCUCCGAAAUGGCUUUAGGGCCAGCGUCGGGAACUAUCCGCUGGGGGUAGAGCGACGGAAUUCGGCCGGGGGGCUUCCCGCCUACCCGCCGAAACCCAACUCCGAAUACCAGCGGCCGGACCCCGGGAGUCAGAGCGCGGGGGAGAAGCUUCGCGCUCGAGAGGGAAACAACCCAGACCGCCGACCAAGGCCCCCAAGACGACGCUCAGUGGCAAAGGAAGUGGGAUCGCGGUGACAGCCGGGAUGUUGGCUUAGAAGCAGCCACCAUUUCAAAAGUGCGUAACAGCUUACCGGUCGAGCCAUCCUGCGCCGAAAAUGACGGGGACUAAGCGUCGUGCCGCAGUCGCGGACUCAGCAAUGAGUGGUAGGAGAGCGUCGGUGGCAGCGUUGAAGCGGCACGGGUAACGAGCCGUGGAGCGCCACCGAGUGCGCAUGCCGGAACGAGUAACGACAAGACGGGUGGGAAGCCCGUCCGCCGAAAGCACAAGGUUUCCUGGGGAAGGUCAAUCCGCCCAGGGUCAGUCGGGACCUAAGGCGAGGCCCAAGGGCGUAGCCGAUGGACAGGCGGUUAAUAUUCCGCCACCCGCGAGGAAGGUUGAUGGCCGGCGACGCCGGCGCAAAGGGGAUCGGGGCGCUAGUCGCCCCCGUGCCGCAAGGCCGACAGCAUUUUGUCCUGGAAGUCCCCCGCGCGUCCGGCCACGAAAAACCCGGUCCGGACGACUUCGCGGCCCGUACCGCAAUCCGACACAGGUGUGCUAGGCGAGCAUCCGAAGGCGUUCGGGAGAACCCUCGUGAAGGAACUCGGCAAAAUGACCCCGUACCCUCGGUACAAGGGGUGCUCCCCGCAAGGGGAGCCGCAGAGAAUCGGCUCUAGCGACUGUUUAUCAAAAACACAGGACUCUGCCAACUCGCAAGAGGACGUAUAGAGUCUGACGCCUGCUCGGUGUCGGUAGGUUAAGGAAGGCGAUCAGCGCAAGCGAAGUUGCCGACCGAAGCCCCGAUAAACGGCGGCCGUAACUAUGACGGUCCUAAGGUAGCGAAGUUCCUUGUCGGGUAAGUUCCGACCUGCAUGAAUGGCGUAACGACUGGAGCGCUGUCUCCACGAGGGACCCGGUGAAACUGUAGCCGUGGUGAAGAUGCCACGUACCCGCGGUCAGACGGAAAGACCCCGUGAACCUUUACUGCAGGUUGGCACUGGGCGAGCGUUGUCUCUGUGUAGGAUAGCUGGGAGGCUGUGAAGCCCGGGCGCUAGCCCGGGUCGAGCCAACGGUGAAAUACCAGCCUGAGAUUGCGUUCGUCCUCACCGGUGUUCCAACACCGGGACCGUGCUCAUCGGGCAGUUUGACUGGGGCGGUCUCCUCCCAAACGGUAACGGAGGAGCGCCAUGGUGCCCUCGGCCCGGUCGGCAAUCGGGCAACACGAGCGCAAACGUAUAAGGGCGCCUGACUGCGAGACGGAUGUGUCGAGCAGGGACGAAAGUCGGCGUUAGUGAUCCGGCGGUGCUGGAUGGAAAGGCCGUCGCUCAACAGAUAAAAGGUACUCCGGGGAUAACAGGCUUAUCUCCUCUGAGCGUUCAUAGCGGCGAGGAGGUUUGGCACCUCGAUGUCGGCUCAUCGCAUCCUGGGGCUGGAGAAGGUCCCAAGGGUUUGGCUGUUCGCCAAUGAAAGCGGUACGCGAGCUGGGUUCAGACCGUCGUGAGACAGGUCGGUCCCUAUCUGCCGUGGGCGUAGGAAACUUGAGGAGAGUCUCCCCUAGUACGAGAGGAUUGGGGAGGACCGACCUCUGGUGUGCCGGCUGUCCCGCUCGGGGCAUCGCCGGGUAGCCAGGUCGGGACAGGAUAAGCGCUGAAGGCAUCUAAGCGCGAAGCCCCCUCCAAGACAAGGCUUCCAGACGUAAGUCGAAGGCUCCUGGAAGACGACCAGGUCGAUGGGCCGGAAGUGUACGGCGAGCGAUCGCCGCAGCGGACCGGUCCCAACAGCCGAGCGGCUUGACC